RNAcentral lists this ribosomal RNA (481 nucleotides) under uncultured bacterium. RNAcentral describes it as "partial 16S ribosomal RNA". It matches the Rfam family "Bacterial small subunit ribosomal RNA", at positions 28 to 507 of the family's 1533-position model. The record is from RNAcentral.
GAUGAACGCUGGCGGCGUGCUUAACACAUGCAAGUCGAACGAAGCACUUUAUUUGAUUUCCUUCGGGACUGAUUAUUUUGUGACUGAGUGGCGGACGGGUGAGUAACGCGUGGGUAACCUGCCUUGUACAGGGGGAUAACAGUUGGAAACGGCUGCUAAUACCGCAUAAGCGCACGGCAUCGCAUGAUGCAGUGUGAAAAACUCCGGUGGUAUAAGAUGGACCCGCGUUGGAUUAGCUAGUUGGUGAGGUAACGGCCCACCAAGGCGACGAUCCAUAGCCGACCUGAGAGGGUGACGGGCCACAUUGGGACUGAGACACGGCCCAAACUCCUACGGGAGGCAGCAGUGGGGAAUAUUGCACAAUGGGCGAAAGCCUGAUGCAGCGACGCCGCGUGAGCGAAGAAGUAUUUCGGUAUGUAAAGCUCUAUCAGCAGGGAAGAUAAUGACGGUACCUGACUAAGAAGCACCGGCUAAAUACGUG